GACGAACGCUGGCGGCGUGCUUAACACAUGCAAGUCGAACGGACAGACAGAGAGCUUGCUCUCUUGAAGUUAGUGGCGAACGGGUGAGUAACGCGUAAUUAACCUGCCCUUCAGAGGGGGAUAACAACGGGAAACCGUUGCUAAUACCGCGUACGAUUCAUGAACGGCAUCGUUUAUGAAUGAAAGGUGGCCUCUAUGUAUAAGCUAUCGCUGAAGGGGGGGAUUGGGUCUGAUUAGCUAGUUGGAGGGGUAACGGCACACCAAGGCGAUGAUCAGUAGCCGGUCUGAGAGGAUGAACGGCCACAUUGGGACUGAGACACGGCCCAAACUCCUACGGGAGGCAGCAGUGGGGAAUCUUCCGCAAUGGACGAAAGUCUGACGGAGCAACGCCGCGUGAGUGAUGAAGGUCUUCGGAUUGUAAAGCUCUGUUAAUCGGGACGAAAGAGUUCUGCGUGAAUAAUGCAGAAAAGUGACGGUACCGGAAUAGAAAGCCACGGCUAACUACGUGCCAGCCGCCGCGGUAA
Molecule: ribosomal RNA, 524 nt
Filed under: uncultured bacterium
Lineage: Bacteria
Description: partial 16S ribosomal RNA
Rfam family: Bacterial small subunit ribosomal RNA
Source: RNAcentral